Molecule: ribosomal RNA, 639 nt
Filed under: uncultured bacterium
Lineage: Bacteria
Description: bacterial SSU rRNA
Rfam family: Bacterial small subunit ribosomal RNA
Source: RNAcentral
GCUCAACCGGGGAGGGUCAUUGGAAACUGGGGAACUUGAGUGCAGAAGAGGAGAGUGGAAUUCCACGUGUAGCGGUGAAAUGCGUAGAGAUGUGGAGGAACACCAGUGGCGAAGGCGACUCUCUGGUCUGUAACUGACGCUGAGGCGCGAAAGCGUGGGGAGCGAACAGGAUUAGAUACCCUGGUAGUCCACGCCGUAAACGAUGAGUGCUAAGUGUUAGAGGGUUUCCGCCCUUUAGUGCUGCAGCAAACGCAUUAAGCACUCCGCCUGGGGAGUACGGUCGCAAGACUGAAACUCAAAGGAAUUGACGGGGGCCCGCACAAGCGGUGGAGCAUGUGGUUUAAUUCGAAGCAACGCGAAGAACCUUACCAGGUCUUGACAUCCCAAUGGCCGCUUUAGAGAUAGAGCCUUCCCUUCGGGGACAUUGGUGACAGGUGGUGCAUGGUUGUCGUCAGCUCGUGUCGUGAGAUGUUGGGUUAAGUCCCGCAACGAGCGCAACCCUUGAUCUUAGUUGCCAGCAUUGAGUUGGGCACUCUAAGGUGACUGCCGGUGACAAACCGGAGGAAGGUGGGGAUGACGUCAAAUCAUCAUGCCCCUUAUGACCUGCGCUACACACGUGCUACAAUGGAUGGUACAAAG